Amphimedon queenslandica is the source of this 659-nucleotide long non-coding RNA. RefSeq lists it as uncharacterized. The record is from RefSeq and is a predicted model, not a curated record. The transcript has 3 exons. NCBI's taxonomy places the organism in Eukaryota, Metazoa, Porifera, Demospongiae, Haplosclerida, Niphatidae.
AUUCUCUCCUUUUUAAAUUUUAGCAAAAUUUUGCCAAAGUCUCUUUACUAUAGUAUAGGGACUUUGGUUCGAUUUUAAAGUAAUACUUUUGGUCGAUGAUCCAUUAUUUUUUUACUAAUAAUUAUAACAUUUUGUUAUUAAUUUUCUUAAUAAACAAUUCUUCAAAGUAUUUGAAUAUUAUUAUCAAUUAUUAUUAUUUUAUUUUAUAGAACAUCAUCAGUGUCCAUUAGUCCUCAUAUCUUGUUGAGAUUAAAGUCCAUUUAAUAAUCAUUUAAAGUGUUUUAAAUUUCCUUCAGUGCUAACAUUCCUGUGGCUAACAGCUAUAAUCAUAUUAUUUGUAUAGUAGUAUCAGACUUUACUAUGAUUAGACUGUCUCGUAUUUCCUUUAAAAAGUGUUUUUGAAGUUGCUAAUACUACUGACCUGACCUCAGGUGUAUAUUGUAUAAAGUCAUCAUGAGGUGUGUGUGUUGGUCAUGUACUAGUAUCAUGUACAGGAGAUGAAGCUGUUGCUGUAUUGUUUACUGUAAAUAAUGAUUCUUAUUUUGCCAAAAACUGAUCAAUUACUAGUAAUAAUUAAUUCUGUUUAUUCUUUUUUUAAUGUCUACAACUUGAGUGGAGCAUCCAUUCCACUGGCAGCAGCUGUUGCUGUUUUUAAAGUA